GGGCAGAUUCCCGAGUGGUCAAAGGGGGUGGAGUCAAGUUCCACUGCAUUCGCUUCGUCGGUUCGAAUCCGGCUCUGCUCA
Non-coding RNA from Vanrija pseudolonga, 81 nucleotides. NCBI's taxonomy places the organism in Eukaryota, Fungi, Basidiomycota, Tremellomycetes, Trichosporonales, Trichosporonaceae. The record is from the annotation of a RefSeq genome assembly.